GAUGAACGCUGGCGGCGUGCCUAAUACAUGCAAGUCGAGCGAACAGAUGAGGAGCUUGCUCCUCUGACGUUAGCGGCGGACGGGUGAGUAACACGUGGAUAACCUACCUAUAAGACUGGGAUAACUUCGGGAAACCGGAGCUAAUACCGGAUAAUAUAUUGAACCGCAUGGUUCAAUAGUGAAAGACGGUUUUGCUGUCACUUAUAGAUGGAUCCGCGCCGCAUUAGCUAGUUGGUAAGGUAACGGCUUACCAAGGCAACGAUGCGUAGCCGACCUGAGAGGGUGAUCGGCCACACUGGAACUGAGACACGGUCCAGACUCCUACGGGAGGCAGCAGUAGGGAAUCUGCCGCAAUGGGCGAAAGCCUGACGGAGCAACGCCGCGUGAGUGAUGAAGGUCUUCGGAGCGUAAAACUCUGUUAUUAGGGAAGAACAAAUGUGUAAGUAACUAUGCACGUCUUGACGGUACCUAAUCAGAAAGCCACGGCUAACUACGUG
This 497-nucleotide ribosomal RNA is filed under the name uncultured bacterium. Its description in RNAcentral is "partial 16S ribosomal RNA". It matches the Rfam family "Bacterial small subunit ribosomal RNA", at positions 28 to 507 of the family's 1533-position model. The record is from RNAcentral.